This 497-nucleotide ribosomal RNA is filed under the name uncultured bacterium. RNAcentral's name for it is "partial 16S ribosomal RNA". It matches the Rfam family "Bacterial small subunit ribosomal RNA", at positions 28 to 507 of the family's 1533-position model. The record is from RNAcentral.
GAUGAACGCUGGCGGCGUGCCUAAUACAUGCAAGUCGAGCGAACAGACGAGGUGCUUGCUCCUCUGACGUUAGCGGCGGACGGGUGAGUAACACGUGGAUAACCUACCUAUCAGACUGGGAUAACUUCGGGAAACCGGAGCUACUACCGGAUAAUAUAUUGAACCGCAUGGUUCAAUAGUGAAAGACGGUUUUGCUGUCACUGAUAGAUGGAUCCGCGCCGCAUUAGCUAGUUGGUAAGGUAACGGCUUACCAAGGCAACGAUGCGUAGCCGACCUGAGAGGGUGAUCGGCCACACUGGUACUGAGACACGGUCCAGACUCCUACGAGAGGCAGCAGUAGGGAAGCUUACGCAAUGGGGGAAAGCAUGACGAAGCAGCGCCGCGUGAGUGAUGAAGGUCUUCGGCGCGUAAAGCACUGUUAUUAGGGAAGAACAAGUGUUGACGUAACUGUGCACGUCUUGACGGUACCUAGUCAGAAAGCCACGGCUAACUACGUG